UCCGGAUUUACUGGGUGUAAAGGGCGUGCAGCNGGGCAUGCAAGUCAGAUGUGAAAUCUCAGGGCUUNANCCCUGAAACUGCAUUUGAAACUGUAUGUCUUGAGUGCCNGNAGAGGUANUCGGAAUUCCUUGUGUAGCGGUGAAAUGCGUAGAUAUAAGGAAGAACACCAGUGGCGAAGGCGGAUUACUGGACGGUAACUGACGGUGAGGCGCGAAAGCGUGGGGAGCGAACAGGAUUAGAUACCCUGGUAGUCCACGCUGUAAACGAUGGAUACUAGGUGUGCGGGGACUGACCCCNUGCGUGCCGCAGUUAACACAAUAAGUAUCCCACCUGGGGAGUACGAUCGCAAGGUUGAAACUCAAAGGAAUUGACGGGGGCCCGCACAAGCGGUGGAUUAUGUGGUUUAAUUCGAAGCAACGCGAAGAACCUUACCAGGUCUUGACAUCCUGCUAACGAAGUAGAGAUACAUUAGGUGCCCUUCGGGGAAAGCAGAGACAGGUGGUGCAUGGUUGUCGUCAGCUCGUGUCGUGAGAUGUUGGGUUAAGUCCCGCAACGAGCGCAACCCCUAUUGUUAGUUGCUACGCAAGAGCACUCUAGCGAGACUGCCGUUGACAAAACGGAGGAAGGUGGGGACGACGUCAAAUCAUCAUGCCCCUUAUGACCUGGGCUACACACGUAAUACAAUGGCGGUCAACAAAGGGAUGCAAAGCCGCGAGGCAGAGCGAACCCCAAAAAGCCGUCCCAGUUCGGAUCGCAGGCUGCAACCCGCCUGCGUGAAGUCGGAAUCGCUAGUAAUCGUGGGUCAGCAUACCACGGUGAAUACGUUCCCGGGCCUUGUACACACCGCCCGUCACACCAUGAGAGUCGGGAACACCCGAAGUCCGUAGCCUAACCGCAAGGAGGGCGCGGCCGAAGGUGGGUUCGAUAAUUGGGGUGAAGUCGUAACAAGGUAGAAUCACUAGUGAAUUCGCGGCCGCCUGCAGGUCGACCAUANGGGAGAGCUCCCNACGC
This 1012-nucleotide ribosomal RNA is filed under the name uncultured Oscillospiraceae bacterium. Its description in RNAcentral is "bacterial SSU rRNA". It matches the Rfam family "Bacterial small subunit ribosomal RNA", at positions 544 to 1533 of the family's 1533-position model. The record is from RNAcentral. Lineage: Bacteria; Bacillati; Bacillota; Clostridia; Eubacteriales; Oscillospiraceae.